RNAcentral lists this ribosomal RNA (542 nucleotides) under Stenotus binotatus. Its description in RNAcentral is "partial small subunit ribosomal RNA". The record is from RNAcentral. Lineage: Eukaryota; Metazoa; Arthropoda; Insecta; Hemiptera; Miridae.
CCCCCCUUCUACAAAAACAUGGUCUUUUGUUCAUAUAAAAGAUCUAGCCUGCCCUUUGAUUUAUUUUAAAUGGCUGCCGUAUUUUGACUGUACAAAGGUAGCAUUAUCAUUUGUUUUUUAAUUGAAGGGUGGUUUGAAUGGCUGGAUGAGAAAUUGGCUUUUUUUAUUUUAUAUGAAAAAAUUAAUUUUUUAGUUAACAAGCAAAAAUGAUUUUAUAGGACGAGAAGACCCUAUAGAACUUUACUUUCUUUUUAUAUAAUUUUUAUAGAUUUAUAAAAGAUUAUAUAUGUAUGUUAAGUUUGUUGGGGUGAUUGAAAAAAUUAUAUAACUCUUUUUAUUUUAUACAUUUAUAUAUGUUAUUUUGAUCCUUUAUUAUGGGUAAUAAGAUUAAGUUACCUUAGGGAUAACAGCGUUAUUUUUUUGGAGAGUUCUUAUCGAUAAAAAAGUUUGCGACCUCGAUGUUGGAUUAAAAUACGUGUCAGGAGCAGAGUAUUGUUUACUAGGUCUGUCCGACCUUUAAAUUUUUACUGCCUCUCCCGGGC